AAAUAUUGUAAACUAUGUACAUAUGUAAAUAAUUUGUAAAUAUUUUAAAUGCAACGCUCGAACAUAAUGGAACAAUCGGACUUUCAACAAAGUGUAAGGAACGGCCUCCUGUUGCUGCACUUCCCGGACUUGCCUACCUGCUGGAACAACUUAAAGCUGCAGCCCCACCUGCAACUUCUCGGACUUUCUACCGGAUGGAACAAUUACAUGCUACCUUCUCCCCGAUAGGAGAUCGGGUGUCUCCUAUCGCUGCCUUGGUACAUUGUAGCUCAUGUUGAAUCAUGCCCAAAGACGCUUACACUGCUUUGUGAAGCUUAUGUGUAUUCGAAUUGCGAAAAUGCAGUCUCUACGCCUAGAAUGGAGAGCCGUCCCUCGCAGACAUUCUUGAAGUGAAGUAUCAAGAUUUCAAGUUCGCAUCUAAAUUAAUCAAAUCGUAUCAAAAUUGCGUCGGCGAAUCCUCCACAGGACACAGGAGGAGGAGGAUCUGACAGGGUAAACGAAUAGUGCUCGACUUUCGAUCGAAACUCUCUAAAUCAAUCAAGUGGAAAAUUGCAUUUCGGAAAGAAUAUAUUUCGUAAAUAAAAAGGAGAAUCAAAGUAUA
Drosophila guanche is the source of this 601-nucleotide long non-coding RNA. RefSeq lists it as uncharacterized. The record is from RefSeq and is a predicted model, not a curated record. Lineage: Eukaryota; Metazoa; Arthropoda; Insecta; Diptera; Drosophilidae. The transcript has 4 exons.